CCUACGGGAGGCUGCAGUGGGGAAUAUUGGACAAUGGGCGAAAGCCUGAUCCAGCCAUGCCGCGUGUGUGAAGAAGGCCUUCGGGUUGUAAAGCACUUUCAGUGGGGAAGAAAGCCUUGGGGCUAAUACCCUCGAGGAAGGACAUCACCCACAGAAGAAGCACCGGCUAACUCCGUGCCAGCAGCCGCGGUAAUACGGAGGGUGCGAGCGUUAAUCGGAAUUACUGGGCGUAAAGCGCGCGUAGGCGGUCUGAUAAGCCGGUUGUGAAAGCCCCGGGCUCAACCUGGGAACGGCAUCCGGAACUGUCAGGAUAGAGUGCAGGAGAGGAAGGUAGAAUUCCCGGUGUAGCGGUGAAAUGCGUAGAGAUCGGGAGGAAUACCAGUGGCGAAGGCGGCCUUCUGGACUGACACUGACGCUGAGGUGCGAAAGCGUGGGUAGCAAACAGGAUUAGAUACCCUGGUAGUC
This 465-nucleotide ribosomal RNA is filed under the name Vreelandella stevensii. RNAcentral's name for it is "partial 16S ribosomal RNA". It matches the Rfam family "Bacterial small subunit ribosomal RNA", at positions 338 to 795 of the family's 1533-position model. Lineage: Bacteria; Pseudomonadati; Pseudomonadota; Gammaproteobacteria; Oceanospirillales; Halomonadaceae. The record is from RNAcentral.